CUACGGGAGGCUCCAGUGAGGAAUAUUGCACAAUGGGGGCAACCCUGAUGCAGCAACGCCACGUGGAGGAUGACGCAUUUCGGUGUGUAAACUCCUUUUAUCAGAGAAGAACCAUGACGGUAUCUGAUGAAUAAGCUCCGGCUAACUCCGUGCCAGCAGCCGCGGUAAUACGGAGGGAGCAAGCGUUAUUCGGAAUCACUGGGCGUAAAGGACGCGUAGGCCGGUCUGUAAGUCAGGUGUGAAAUGCAAUGGCUCAACCAUUGAACUGCACUUGAAACUGCGGACCUAGAGUAUGGAAGGGGCAGAUGGAAUUAGUGGUGUAGGGGUAAAAUCCGUAGAUAUCACUAGGAAUACCGAAAGCGAAGGCGAUCUGCUGGGACAUAACUGACGCUGAGGCGCGAAAGCGUGGGGAGCAAUCAGGAUUAGAUACCCCGGUAGUC
This 440-nucleotide ribosomal RNA is filed under the name uncultured bacterium. Its description in RNAcentral is "partial 16S ribosomal RNA". It matches the Rfam family "Bacterial small subunit ribosomal RNA", at positions 339 to 795 of the family's 1533-position model. The record is from RNAcentral.